RNAcentral lists this ribosomal RNA (424 nucleotides) under uncultured prokaryote. RNAcentral describes it as "bacterial SSU rRNA". It matches the Rfam family "Bacterial small subunit ribosomal RNA", at positions 355 to 774 of the family's 1533-position model. The record is from RNAcentral.
UUAAGAAUUUUGCGCAAUGGGCGAAAGCCUGACGCAGCGACGCCGCGUGGACGAUGAAGGUCUUCGGAUUGUAAAGUCCAGUAAGCAGGGACGAAUAAGCAAGGGGUAAUAUUCCUUGUGAUGACGGUACCUGUCUAAAGCCUCGGCUAACUACGUGCCAGCAGCCGCGGUAAUCCGUAUGAGGCGAGCGUUGUUCGGCAUUAUUGGGCAUAAAGGGCGUGUAGGCGGGGGACUAAGUUAGGUGUGAAAGCCAGGGGCUCAACCCGGGAAUUGCAGCUAAUACUGGUUCUCUUGAGUGCGGGAGAGGAGAGGGGAAUUCCAGGUGUAGCGGUGAAAUGCGUAGAUAUCUGGAAGAACACCAGUGGCGAAGGCGGCUCUCUGGCCUAGGACUGACGCUAAGGCGCGAAAGCGUGGGGAGCGAACG